GAUGAACGCUGGCGGCGUGCCUAAUACAUGCAAGUCGAGCGAACAGACGAGGAGCUUGCUCCUCUGACGUUAGCGGCGGACGGGUGAGUAACACGUGGAUAACCUACCUAUAAGACUGGGAUAACUUCGGGAAACCGGAGCUAAUACCGGAUAAUAUAUUGAACCGCAUGGUUCAAUAGUGAAAGACGGUUUUGCUGUCACUUAUAGAUGGAUCCGCGCCGCAUUAGCUAGUUGGUAAGGUAACGGCUUACCAAGGCAACGAUGCGUAGCCGACCUGAGAGGGGGAUCGGCCACACUGGAACUGAGACACGGUCCAGACUCCUACGGGAGGCAGCAGUAGGGAAUCUUCCGAAAUGGGCGAAAGCCUGACGGAGCAACGCCGCGUGAGUGAUGAAGGUCUUCGGAUCGUAAAACUCUGUUAUUAGGGAAGAACAAAUGUGUAAGUAACUAUGCGCGUCUGGCCGGUACCUAAUCAGAAAGCCACGGCUAACUACGG
This 496-nucleotide ribosomal RNA is filed under the name uncultured bacterium. Its description in RNAcentral is "partial 16S ribosomal RNA". It matches the Rfam family "Bacterial small subunit ribosomal RNA", at positions 28 to 506 of the family's 1533-position model. The record is from RNAcentral.